CCUCAGCUUUACUUCCUGAAACAUGAUCCUUUGGUUACAAUGUUGUCAAGGAAGUUACUUAGUAGCUAUCUACAGCCACAACACUAGUGAAGCAAUAAACUAACGCAAUCAUCUAGCAUAAGAGACCAUGGUUGAGAAAGAGAGAGGAGACAAGUCACAGAAACUUGAUUGUGAAUCAGGGGACCGUCAGUAGGUGGAGACACUGUUCCCUCCUCACUUCUCCCUGUUGACUCUGGUGGUGGAGAACAAUAUCUGUGGGUCCAGGAAGGCUGGAGCCAUUAAGGUAACAGAGCCAUCAUCAUUAUCCUCUUAAGAGGAGACUCUGUAGGCAGGACUUCUACAUGACUAUUCUACAGAUGGUACAACACAAAGAGGCGCAGCGAAGAAACGAGACACCAUUCCAGAAGAUCAUCCAGGAGGACUUGCAGAAGAAGGGAGGGGAGUUGAGCUCUGAUUAUGAGGGCCACAAUAAUUUGUAUUUUUUAUUUAACCAGGUAGGCUAGUUGAGAACAAGUUCUCAUUUCCAACUGCGACCUGUCCAAGAUAAAGCAAAGCAGUUCGACACAUACAACAGAGUUACACAUGGAAUAAACAAACAUACAAUCAAUAAUACAGUAGAAAAUAUAUAUAUACAGCAUUUGCAAAUGAGGUAGGAUAAGAGAGGUAAGGCAAUAAAUAGUGCAGGAAGUCAGGAGGGAGAAUGAGAGCUUGGCGUUGGAUAUCGAAAGGCUUGAAAAGCACCUAUUGAGGUACAUAGGCAGGAGGUCACCUCUCGGUUGGCACACAAGCUAGCUCUACAGAGGAGACCAAGACUCAGCUGAAGGAGAGCCAUACACGUAAUUAUGCUGCCUUGGGAUUCCUGCGCAGGCACUUCAAUAACCCAUCAGAGGACACCAAGACUCAGCUGAAGGAGAGCCAUACACGUAGCUAUGCUGCCUUGGGAUUCCUGCGCAGGCACUUCAAUAACCCAGAGGGCACAACACAUACAGACAAGAAUGCACACUUUUUUUGUCCCAUUUUUAACAAACUCACAAAAACAUACUGCACAAAUGCUGUUUGUAAGGCAGGCCUUCAGUCCAACUAGCCUCUCAAUUACAUAUUGGUGGAAAUACUGUAUGCUGGAUUUCCUUACUGUAAUAAAAACACAAACAAAGAUGUCUUAAUUUUAUUUUUAUAUAUGCUUCCACACGUUCACCUUUUAAAAUAAAGCUAUGUACACAUUGUACACAUCUCCCACAGUAAAUAAAGAAAAUAAUAAAAAAUUGGGGGAAAAAGGAAGGCAACAGUGAAAAACAUACAUUUUACAGUUCAAAUUCUGAAUCACCCAAAAAUAAUUUAGCCUUGACAAAUCUUGAUCAUUUUUGUAUAUUGUCAUUGAGUUAUUAUACUAGCCAAAUAACCACAAGUCUGAAAAUUAUCAGAAAUGUUUUGCUUUAUAUUUGAUUUCCUCCAAUAAAUUAUUCAGUUUAAAGUUUUGAUCAAACAUUAAUGCUUGGUCUACGACAAAACAGGUGCUCUGGAAUUCCUAUAAAUAACAGACUGUGGGCUGAUUACAGUGAACGGGAUUAAGCCUACAAUACUACUGGACUGAAUUGCACUUUUGGUAAAAAGUCCUGGAAUAGUUCAUAUGUAUUCCAUUCAAGGUUUAUCUAUAUUCAAUAAAUCACAUUUGCAGUUAAUCAUUUAAUCUGGGCCUGUGAAGUUGGCGUUUUUUGGGACUUGAAAUACAUUAUUUCCCCCCCUCAUCAGUGCUCGACGUGGGCAGGAGCGAACCGGAGUAUAGUGCCAGCACCUCAAGUUUUCUACUGCUUGAGCUCCUGUUCCUCUUACAGAAUAUUAGCUCAAAAGUAUUGAGGAGCUCCUGCAUCUAAAUGUAAACAGAACCAGCACCCAAAAUGAGUACUGGCAUCCAUCUCAGUCAAGUCAAGCACUGAGCCUUAUACUACCUUUGAUUAAGAAGAUUGGAGAGGUCUAUACCUCCACAUACAUGGUCUUCCCAAUCAAAUUGCAAUUCUGAAUGUAAGGCAACAUUCAUACUUGUGUGUCCUCUUAUUCAAUAUGAAUUGAAAUUUGAGGCACCCAACUAAUACAUUUCACUGGAAGAUUCUGGUUUUCCCCUUAAAGAAAACCAGGUCCCACUCCCUGUUGAAGUUAAAACAAAA
Molecule: long non-coding RNA, 2162 nt
Organism: Oncorhynchus keta (chum salmon)
Lineage: Eukaryota; Metazoa; Chordata; Actinopteri; Salmoniformes; Salmonidae
Exons: 2
Source: RefSeq, a predicted model, not a curated record